Molecule: long non-coding RNA, 394 nt
Filed under: Gouania willdenowi (blunt-snouted clingfish)
Lineage: Eukaryota; Metazoa; Chordata; Actinopteri; Blenniiformes; Gobiesocidae
Description: lncRNA (ENSGWIG00000020425.1)
Source: RNAcentral
CAUUCUAUAGCUCAGCUUUUGCUGCAGUGCAGGAGGAAGCAACCCUGCGUGAAGUCAACCUCAGCCUUGUAUUCACAUUGUUUUUCAGGGCCGUGAUGGGCCAAAGGGGGACCGUGGUACUGCUGGGUCUGAAGGCCCCUCUGGACCCCCAGGACCCCCUGGACUACCUGGUAGCAUUGGCCCUCCCGGACAGGUUGUUUAUAUGAAAGGAGUUCCAUCUGCACCAAUUCCAGGUCCGCCGGGUCCUCCAGGAACACCUGGUGUCCCGGGAAUACCAGGAGCUGUUGGAGUCAGAGGGGAAAGAGGACCAACUGGCCCAAAAGGUGAUGCUGUAAGUCAAACCGUCAUCCUGGUUAUUUUAAAAAUGCAACAAUGGCAUUUCAUUUGUUUUGAA